This 671-nucleotide ribosomal RNA is filed under the name uncultured Bacilli bacterium. RNAcentral describes it as "bacterial SSU rRNA". It matches the Rfam family "Bacterial small subunit ribosomal RNA", at positions 73 to 723 of the family's 1533-position model. Lineage: Bacteria; Bacillati; Bacillota; Bacilli. The record is from RNAcentral.
CCGGAGCUUGCUCCACCGGAAAAAGAGGAGUGGCGAACGGGUGAGUAACACGUGGGUAACCUGCCCAUCAGAAGGGGAUAACACUUGGAAACAGGUGCUAAUACCGUAUAACAAUCAAAACCGCAUGGUUUUGAUUUGAAAGGCGCUUUCGGGUGUCGCUGAUGGAUGGACCCGCGGUGCAUUAGCUAGUUGGUGAGGUAACGGCUCACCAAGGCCACGAUGCAUAGCCGACCUGAGAGGGUGAUCGGCCACAUUGGGACUGAGACACGGCCCAAACUCCUACGGGAGGCAGCAGUAGGGAAUCUUCGGCAAUGGACGAAAGUCUGACCGAGCAACGCCGCGUGAGUGAAGAAGGUUUUCGGAUCGUAAAACUCUGUUGUUAGAGAAGAAAAAGGAUGAGAGUAACUGUUCAUCCCUUGACGGUAUCUAACCAGAAGGCCACGGCUAACUACGUGCCAGCAGCCGCGGUAAUACGUAGGUGGCAAGCGUUGUCCGGAUUUAUUGGGCGUAAAGCGAGCGCAGGCGGUUUCUUAAGUCUGAUGUGAAAGCCCCCGGCUCAACCGGGGAGGGUCAUUGGAAACUGGGAGACUUGAGUGCAGAAGAGGAGAGUGGAAUUCCAUGUGUAGCGGUGAAAUGCGUAGAUAUAUGGAGGAACACCAGUGGCGAAGGCG